GACGAACGCUGGCGGCGUGCUUAACACAUGCAAGUCGAACGGUAAGGCCCUUCGGGGUACACGAGUGGCGAACGGGUGAGUAACACGUGGGUGAUCUGCCCUGCACUUCGGGAUAAGCCUGGGAAACUGGGUCUAAUACCGGAUAGGACCACUGCCUGCAUGGGUGGUGGUGGAAAGCUUUUGCGGUGUGGGAUGGGCCCGCGGCCUAUCGGCUUGUAGGUGGGGUGGUGGCCUACCAAGGCGACGACGGGUAGCCGGCCUGAGAGGGUGACCGGCCACACUGGGACUGAGAUACGGCCCAGACUCCUACGGGAGGCAGCAGUGGGGAAUAUUGCACAAUGGGCGCAAGCCUGAUGCAGCGACGCCGCGUGAGGGAUGACGGCCUUCGGGUUGUAAACCUCUUUCAGCACCGACGAAGCGCAAGUGACGGUAGGUGCAGAAGAAGGACCGGCCAACUACGUGCCAGCCGCCGCAGUAA
RNAcentral lists this ribosomal RNA (478 nucleotides) under uncultured bacterium. RNAcentral's name for it is "partial 16S ribosomal RNA". It matches the Rfam family "Bacterial small subunit ribosomal RNA", at positions 28 to 523 of the family's 1533-position model. The record is from RNAcentral.